CACUGGUAAACAACAACGGGCUUGUUAGGUAGCUAAAACACAAACACUGGUUAACAACAACUGGCUUGUUAGGUAGCUAAAACACAAACACUGGUUAACAACAACGGGCUUGGUAGGUAGCUAAAACACAAACACUGGUUAACAACAACAUCCGUAAAGUAUUCAGACGCCUUCCCUUUUUUUCACAUUUUGUUAAGUUACAGGCUUAUUCGAAAAUUGAUUAAAUAUGUUUUUCUUCAUUAAUCUACACACCAUAAUGAGAAAAAGAAAAAACAUACUAUUUGGGGAAUUUUUUGCAAAUGUAAAACAAAUAAAAAACA
Molecule: long non-coding RNA, 320 nt
Organism: Oncorhynchus tshawytscha (Chinook salmon)
Lineage: Eukaryota; Metazoa; Chordata; Actinopteri; Salmoniformes; Salmonidae
Source: Ensembl